CUUUCCCUCUUUCCUUCGGUCUAACACAUGCAAGUCGAACGGCAGCACAGUAAGAGCUUGCUCUUACGGGAGGCGAGUGGCGGACGGGUGAGGAAUACAUCGGAAUCUACUUUUUCGUGGGGGAUAACGUAGGGAAACUUACGCUAAUACCGCAUACGACCUACGGGUGAAAGCAGGGGAUCUUCGUACCUUGCGCGAUUGAAUGAGCCGAUGUCGGAUUAGCUAGUUGGCGGGGUAAAGGCCCACCAAGGCGACGAUCCGUAGCUGGUCUGAGAGGAUGAUCAGCCACACUGGAACUGAGACACGGUCCAGACUCCUACGGGAGGCAGCAGUGGAGAAUAUUGGACAAUGGGCGCAAGCCUGAUCCAGCCAUACCGCGUGGGUGAAGAAGGCCUUCGGGUUGUAAAGCCCUUUUGUUGGGAAAGAAAAGCAGCAGGUUAAUACCCCGCUGUUCUGACGGUACCCAAAGAAUAAGCACGGGCUAACUUCGUG
Molecule: ribosomal RNA, 492 nt
Filed under: uncultured bacterium
Lineage: Bacteria
Description: partial 16S ribosomal RNA
Rfam family: Bacterial small subunit ribosomal RNA
Source: RNAcentral